UGGCGACCGGCGCACGGGUGAGUAGCGCGUAUCCAACCUGCCCUUUACUAUGGGACAGCCCGUCGAAAGGCGGAUUAAUACCGUAUGUUGUCAUGUUGAUGCAUAUUUUCAUGACCAAAGGCUUCGGCCGGUAAAGGAUGGGGAUGCGUCUGAUUAGCUUGCCGGCGGGGUAACGGCCCACCGGGGCGACGAUCAGUAGGGGUUCUGAGAGGAAGGUCCCCCACAUUGGAACUGAGACACGGUCCAAACUCCUACGGAAGGCAGCAG
RNAcentral lists this ribosomal RNA (267 nucleotides) under uncultured bacterium. RNAcentral's name for it is "partial 16S ribosomal RNA". It matches the Rfam family "Bacterial small subunit ribosomal RNA", at positions 89 to 354 of the family's 1533-position model. The record is from RNAcentral.